AGCAGCCGCGGUAAUUCCAGCUCCAAUAGCGUAUAUUAAAGUUGUUGCAGUUAAAAAGCUCGUAGUUGAAUUUCGGGAUUGACGUGAUGGUCGUGCCUUAAGGGGUAUGAACUGUUGCUGUUGAUUUCUCACCUUCUGGAGAAACUUGAUGUCCUUAAUUGGGUGUCUUGCGGAUCCAGGACCUUUACCUUGAAAAAUUAGAGUGUUUAAAGCAGGCAUUUUUGCUCGAAUACAUUAGCAUGGAAUAAUAGAAUAGGACGGCAUGGUUCUAUUUUGUUGGUUUCUAGGAUCACCGUAAUGAUUAAUAGGGAUAGUUGGGGGCAUUAGUAUUCAAUUGUCAGAGGUGAAAUUCUUGGAUUUAUUGAAGACUAACUACUGCGAAAGCAUUUGCCAAGGAUGUUUUCAUUAAUCAAGAACGAAAGUUAGGGGAUCGAAGACGAUCAGAUACCGUCGUAGUCUUAACCAUAAACUAUGCCGAC
This 479-nucleotide unclassified non-coding RNA is filed under the name uncultured Glomus. Its description in RNAcentral is "SSU rRNA". It matches the Rfam family "Eukaryotic small subunit ribosomal RNA", at positions 569 to 1046 of the family's 1831-position model. The record is from RNAcentral. Lineage: Eukaryota; Fungi; Glomeromycota; Glomeromycetes; Glomerales; Glomeraceae.